Molecule: long non-coding RNA, 987 nt
Organism: Tribolium castaneum (red flour beetle)
Lineage: Eukaryota; Metazoa; Arthropoda; Insecta; Coleoptera; Tenebrionidae
Exons: 2
Source: RefSeq, a predicted model, not a curated record
AUUAUUAUCACUUCUCUUAUCAAUGUCAAUACAAGUGAUAAAAAAUUUGUCACAAGUAUACAUAAAAUGAGGUGCGGUUGGUUGUUGUCUUUAAAACGCUUGAAGAUAAACGAACGCUGUUACGAACCGAAAACAUCUAUUUUUAUUUUAAAAUAACGCCAAGUGGAGACAGAUAAUAACGCAAUUACGUAACUAUUUCUCUGAUCGAAUUCCAUUCAAAGAAAAUGCACAAAUAAUAAUAAUAAUAAUAUAAUUAAACACAUCUUGAGCUUGAGAAUGUUCUCACUGAUUAUGCGGUUUUUACAAUUUCCGAUAAAAUAAUUGCAAGAAUGUGACCGAGGUCAAGAUGCAAUAGAAAAAUUGAAACAAACAAGAACAGAUAAAGAUUGUUUCAAAUAUAUUUGUUCCAUGUUUUCUCUCCUCUCUGUAUUAAUUAAUUAAUUUAACAAUAAAAAUUGGACGAGAGAAAGACGUGUGAAAACUAACUCACUCCCUUGUCUGUAUUUUAAUUUAAAUCCUUUCAAAAUAAUGGUUAUGAAGGUUUCGUGCAUUUUCACUUUUUAUCUAAUUUACAAAUUUUAUGAAUUCCAAUUAUUCCAAUAAUUUAUUCCAUAAUACCAUAAGACCUACUUUCCAUAUUCUCAAUAAAUCGAGUUAUGUAAGAAAUUGGACAAAGUCGUUUAAAUCCCUUACCUGUGAGUUUGUCAUCGUAACAUCCAAAAAAAAAGCUUCAGAAGAACAAAUUCAGUCUCUUGGCAGCGUUUCAUGCAAGACACCACCACAAUAAAGAAGACUGGAAAACACAGAAAGUAAAAACACCAAAAGCAAAAACAAAAAAAAAUUAAAAAAAUAAACUAAGCCAUCAGAAGCAGAUUCUCUCUCAUUCACAAACAAAUAAUCAAUCACUGAACUGAAAGCGCUGCUGACAAGCCGUGCACGCUAUAAACAACUAGAACAGGUGCUUUUCAACGACUGAACUAAUUAAAA